UACGUAGGGGGCAAGCGUUGUCCGGAAUCAUUGGGCGUAAAGCGCGUGUAGGCGGCCCGGUAAGUCCGCUGUGAAAGUCCAGGGCUCAACCCUGGGAUGCCGGUGGAUACUGUCGGGCUCGAGUCCGGAAGAGGCGAGUGGAAUUCCUGGUGUAGCGGUGAAAUGCGCAGAUAUCAGGAGGAACACCAGUGGCGAAGGCAGCGCGCUGGGACGUGACUGACGCUGAGACGCGAAAGCGUGGGGAGCGAACCGG
RNAcentral lists this ribosomal RNA (253 nucleotides) under uncultured bacterium. RNAcentral's name for it is "partial 16S ribosomal RNA". It matches the Rfam family "Bacterial small subunit ribosomal RNA", at positions 524 to 776 of the family's 1533-position model. The record is from RNAcentral.